This 1236-nucleotide long non-coding RNA is filed under the name Cricetulus griseus (Chinese hamster). Its description in RNAcentral is "lncRNA (ENSCGRG00015037014.1)". The record is from RNAcentral. Lineage: Eukaryota; Metazoa; Chordata; Mammalia; Rodentia; Cricetidae.
GUCCCCUGCUCCUGUCACUCACCCGGGACUCCGCCUCCGCCGCCGUCGCUGUUGUUGACCUGGGAAGAGACAGAGAGAGACGCGGUUACUGCUACUGCGGGACCCCGGCCGUCGGUGUUGUUUAUCCACCGUUAUUAUUAUUGUUGCCCUGAUAUUAUUAUUAUUGACCCCGACCCCGGCCGUCGGUGUUGUUGACCCGAGCGGUUAUUAUUAUUGUUACUGCCGUCGCUGCUGUUCACCCGCCGUUAUUGUCACUGCUGUUGCGGCCUCGUUAUUAUUAUUAAUAUUGACCCCCGGCCGUCGGUGUUGUUGACCCCGCACUGUUAUUAUUACUGUUGCCGCCGUCGGUGUUGUUUUCCCGCCACCGCCGUCAUUAUUAUUAUUAUUAUUGACCCCGCCGUCGGUGUCGUUGACCCCGCGAUGUGUUAUUAUUAUCGCCGAGGCCGUCGUUGUUGGUUUUUUUUACCGGGGGCGGAAACAACAAACCCCGGGGACGGGGCGGGGCCUAAGGGACCGGAAAACAACAGCGACGGCCAAAGAAGAAAAGUGAGUAACAGUAACGGGGAAACAACACCGACGGCGGCGACAGAAACAAUAAUAAUAAUAAUAACAACCGGCCGUGAGCAACACCGACGGCGCCGCCGGAGACGGGAAAACAACAGCGACGGCCCCGCCGGAAACGUAACAGUAACAGAAAAACAACAACGACCACGACAAUAACAAUAACGGCAGCAAAAACCCGGGAACAACAAAUAAUAAUAAUAAUAAACAAAAACCGACCGUAAACAACACCGACGGCGUCAGUAACAACAAAACAACACCGACGGCCGCGCCCGAAACAUAACAGUAACAAAAACAACAACAACGACGAUAACGACACAGCAGCAAAAACAGAAACAACACCGACGGCCGCGCCCGAAACAUAACAGUAACAAAACAACAACGACGACGACAAUAACAAUAAUAACGACACAGCAGCAAAACACAAACAAUAACGACGGCGUCAGUAAUAAUAAUAACAACGCUGAUGACGCCGGUGACGGAGUCGCUGCGACGCCUCAAACAACACCGACGGCGUCAGUAACAAUAACGGCACCGCCGCCCGGGCCGCCAAAAAAACAACAACAACAACAGUAACAGUAACGAAAACAACACCGACGGCGUCAAUAAUAAUAACCAAACCCGGAAACAACCCGGCGGCCCCGCCCCCUCCCCGGGGCCGCGGUGACCCCGCCG